Molecule: unclassified non-coding RNA, 411 nt
Filed under: soil metagenome
Description: partial contains 5.8S ribosomal RNA, internal transcribed spacer 2, and large subunit ribosomal RNA
Rfam family: 5.8S ribosomal RNA (bases 1-121)
Source: RNAcentral
GAUGAAGAACGUAGCGAAAUGCGAUACUUGGUGUGAAUUGCAGAAUCCCGUGAACCAUCGAGUCUUUGAACGCAAGUUGCGCCGAAGCCGUCAGGCCGAGGGCACGCCUGCCUGGGCGUCACACGCCGUUGCCCCCCCGCGCCCCGCACCCAACUCUUUGGGAGCGACCGCGGGGCGGGCUGAUGAUGGCCUCCCGUGCGCUCCGCCGCGCGGUUGGCCCAAAUACCGAGUCCCCGGCGACGUGCGCCACGACGAUCGGUGGUUGAGAGACCUCUGUCGCAAGUCGUGCGCGCCCGUCGCGUGACGCGGGCUCGCAUAGCGCCUCGCGCCGCACCCGGUGCGGAGCUUUCAACGCGACCCCAGGUCAGGCGGGGUUACCCGCUGAGUUUAAGCAUAUCAAUAAGCGGAGGA